Molecule: ribosomal RNA, 289 nt
Filed under: Lucilia bazini
Lineage: Eukaryota; Metazoa; Arthropoda; Insecta; Diptera; Calliphoridae
Description: partial 16S ribosomal RNA
Source: RNAcentral
UCUGGUAUGAAAGGUUUGACGAGAUAUUAACUGUUUCAUAAAAAUUUAUAAUAGAAUUUUAUUUUUUAGUCAAAAAGCUAAAAUUUAUUUAAAAGACGAGAAGACCCUAUAAAUCUUUAUAUUUAUAUUAUUAUAGUUUUGUAGAUUUUUUUUAUUAUGAUAAUAGAUUAUAUUUUAUUGGGGUGAUAUUAAAAUUUGAUAAACUUUUAAUUGUUUAAAUCAUUAAUUUAUGAAUAAUUGAUCCGUUAUUAGCGAUUAAAAAAACAAGUUACCUUAGGGAUAACAGCGA